This 281-nucleotide ribosomal RNA is filed under the name uncultured prokaryote. Its description in RNAcentral is "partial 16S ribosomal RNA". It matches the Rfam family "Bacterial small subunit ribosomal RNA", at positions 524 to 803 of the family's 1533-position model. The record is from RNAcentral.
UACGUAGGGGGCGAGCGUUAUCCGGAAUUAUUGGGCGUAAAGAGUACGUAGGCGGGAGCUUAAGCACAGGGUUUAAGGCAAUGGCUUAACCACUGUAUGCCUUGUGAACUGGGCUUCUUGAGUGCAGGAGGGGAAAGCGGAAUUCCUAGUGUAGCGGUGAAAUGCGUAGAUAUUAGGAGGAACACCAGUGGCGAAGGCGGCUUUCUGGACUGUAACUGACGCUGAGGUACGAAAGUGUGGGGAGCAAACAGGAUUAGAUACCCGGGUAGUCCCUGAGCGGG